This 417-nucleotide long non-coding RNA is filed under the name Monodelphis domestica (gray short-tailed opossum). Its description in RNAcentral is "lncRNA (ENSMODG00000036818.1)". Lineage: Eukaryota; Metazoa; Chordata; Mammalia; Didelphimorphia; Didelphidae. The record is from RNAcentral.
UUUCUCUUUCUUUUUUCUUGCUUUCUUCUUUCUUUGUUUUUUAUUUUUCCUUUCUUUCUUUCUUUCUUUCUUUCUUUCUUUCUUCUUUCUUUCUUUCUUUCUUUCUUUCUUUCUUUCUUUCUUUCUUUCUUUCUUUCUUUCUUUCUUUCUUUCUUUCUUCCUUCCUUCCUUCCUUCCUUCUUACUUUCUUACUUUCUUUCUUACUUUCUUUCUUUCUUUCUUUCUUUCUUUCUUUCUUUCUUUCUUUCUUUCUUUCUUUCUUUCUUUCUUUCUUUCUUUCUUUCUUUCUUUCUUUCUUCCUUCCUUCCUUCCUUCCUUCCUCUUCCUCCCUUCCUUCCUUCCUUUCUUUCUUUCUUUCUUUCUUUCUUUUUCAUUUUGCUUGCCUUUUUUCCUAUUUUCCUUCCUUCUCUAUAGAUG